RNAcentral lists this ribosomal RNA (497 nucleotides) under uncultured bacterium. Its description in RNAcentral is "partial 16S ribosomal RNA". It matches the Rfam family "Bacterial small subunit ribosomal RNA", at positions 28 to 507 of the family's 1533-position model. The record is from RNAcentral.
GAUGAACGCUGGCGGCGUGCCUAAUACAUGCAAGUCGAGCGAACGGACGAGAAGCUUGCUUUUCUGAUGUUAGCGGCGGACGGGUGAGUAACACGUGGAUAACCUACCUAUAAGACUGGGAUAACUUCGGGAAACCGGAGCUAAUACCGGAUAAUAUUUUGAACCGCAUGGUUCAAAAGUGAAAGACGGUCUUGCUGUCACUUAUAGAUGGAUCCGCGCUGCAUUAGCUAGUUGGUAAGGUAAAGGCUUACCAAGGCAACGAUGCAUAGCCGACCUGAGAGGGUGAUCGGCCACCUGGGAACUGAGACACGGUCCAGACUCCUACGGGAGGCAGCAGUAGGGAAUGUUCCGCAAUGGGCGGAAGCCUGACGGAGCAACGCCGCGUGAGUGAUGAAGGUCUUCGGAUCGUAAAACUCUGUUAUUAGGGAAGAACAUAUGUGUAAGUAACUGUGCACAUCUUGACGGUACCUAAUCAGAAAGCCACGGCUAACUACGUG